This 125-nucleotide ribosomal RNA is filed under the name Prolemur simus (greater bamboo lemur). Lineage: Eukaryota; Metazoa; Chordata; Mammalia; Primates; Lemuridae. The record is from RNAcentral.
GUCUACGGCCAUACCACCCUGAACACACCUGAUCCCAUCUGAUCUCAGAAGCUAAGCAGGGUCGGGCCUGGUUAGUACCUGGAUGGCAGAAUUAAGUUCCCAGGGUCAUCUUGGAGAAGUGGAAA